CUCCGAUUGAACGCUGGCGGCGUGCCUAAAACAUUGCAAGUCGAGCGGUAACCGGUGUAGCAACCAUGCUGACGAGCGGCGAACGGGUGAGUAAUGCAUUGGAAUCUUCCCCGUAGUGGGGAAUAACCCGUCGAAAGAUUGGCUAAUACCGCAUACGUCGGAAACGGGAAAGCGGGGGCUCGUAAGACCUCGCGCUAUUGGAUGAGCCAAUGUCGGAUUAGCUAGUUGGUGAGGUAACGGCUCACCAAGGCGACAAUCCGUAGCUGGUCUGAGAGGACGACCCGCCACACCGGAACUUAUAGGGAGUCCGGACUCCUACGGGAGGCCGCCGUGGGGAAUAUUGGACAAUGGGGGAAACCUUGAUCCCGCGACGCCGCGUGUGUGAAGAAGGCCUGCGGGUUGUAAAGCACUUUUAGUGGGGACAAAAAGCUACGGGGGAAUUUUAGUGGUCUUGAUGGGGCCCAAAGAAAAAGCACCGGCUAACUCUGUGCCCGCCGCCGCGGUAAUACGGAGGGUGCGAGCGUUAAUCGGAAUUACUGGGCGUAAAGCGCGCGUAGACGGUUUUGUAAGUCCGAUGUGAAAUCCCUGGGCUCAACCUGGGAACUGCAUUUGAAGCUGCAUGGCUAGAGUAUCGAAGAGGGAAGUGGAAUUUCCGGUGUAGCGGUGAAAUGCGUAGAAGUCGGAAGGAACACCCGUGGCGAAAGCGACUUCCUGGUCGAAUACUGACGUUCAUGUGCGAAAGCGUGGGGAGCAAACCGGAUUAGAAGCCCUGGUAGUCCCGACCAUAAACGAUGACAACUAGAUGUUGGGAGGGUCUG
RNAcentral lists this ribosomal RNA (818 nucleotides) under uncultured bacterium. RNAcentral's name for it is "bacterial SSU rRNA". It matches the Rfam family "Bacterial small subunit ribosomal RNA", at positions 23 to 835 of the family's 1533-position model. The record is from RNAcentral.